AGACGUCUACAUUAGAUACCCGCGUAGUCCCAGCCGUAAACUAUGCGCGUUAGGUGUAUCGGUGACCACGAGUUACCGAGGUGCCGAAGGGAAACCGUGAAACGUGCCGCCUGGGAAGUACGGUCGCAAGGCUGAAACUUAAAGGAAUUGGCGGGGAGCACCACAACAGGUGGAGCCUGCGGUUUAAUUGGACUCAACGCCGGGAAGCUCACCGGAUAGGACAGCAGAAUGAUUGCCGGGCUAAAGACUCUGCAUGACUAGCUG
This 264-nucleotide ribosomal RNA is filed under the name uncultured archaeon. RNAcentral's name for it is "partial 16S ribosomal RNA". It matches the Rfam family "Archaeal small subunit ribosomal RNA", at positions 717 to 982 of the family's 1478-position model. The record is from RNAcentral.